UACGGAGGUGGCGAGCGUUGUCCGAAGUUACUGGGCGUAAAGCGCGCGUAGGCGGCUUUGUAAGUUAGAGGUGAAAGCCCGGGGCUCAACUCCGGAACUGCCUUUAAGACUGCAUCGCUUGAAUCCGGGAGAGGUGAGUGGAAUUCCGAGUGUAGAGGUGAAAUUCGUAGAUAUUCGGAAGAACACCAGUGGCGAAGGCGGCUCACUGGACCGGUAUUGACGCUGAGGUGCGAAAGCGUGGGGAGCAAACAGG
This 253-nucleotide ribosomal RNA is filed under the name uncultured bacterium. RNAcentral describes it as "partial 16S ribosomal RNA". It matches the Rfam family "Bacterial small subunit ribosomal RNA", at positions 524 to 776 of the family's 1533-position model. The record is from RNAcentral.